Long non-coding RNA from Hibiscus syriacus, 183 nucleotides. RefSeq lists it as uncharacterized. The transcript is spliced from 3 exons. The record is from RefSeq and is a predicted model, not a curated record. Lineage: Eukaryota; Viridiplantae; Streptophyta; Magnoliopsida; Malvales; Malvaceae.
ACCAGAGGCACCAUGAAUUUGAUUUGUUAAGUUGAGCUUGAAAAGCCAAGCUUUUGUGAUCUUAAAGUGGUGAACAUCACAGAACACCAUGUGGCGUUUAAGGUUAAAACGACUUCGCCUAAGAAGUACUUUGUGCGACCAAAUACCGGUGUAUACAGCCUUUGGAUUCAUCGUCAUUAAGGU